CACGUGCCCUGCUUCUCCAUC
Molecule: microRNA, 21 nt
Filed under: Corchorus capsularis
Lineage: Eukaryota; Viridiplantae; Streptophyta; Magnoliopsida; Malvales; Malvaceae
Also listed under: 1 other name
Description: sRNA CCACVL1_10553
Source: RNAcentral